UCCUCUCCUGAAAAUUCCAAAUUUAAUUUAAUUUCAUUUCAUUUUCUGAUAUUUCGCUUUUUUCCCCCAAAAAAUCAUCUAUCUCUCCUUCCUGUUAAUAUGUCGCUUCGAUUUCCUUCCCCUUGCCAAAAUAUUUUUAAAUCAAUCAAUGAAUUAAAGAUCAUGCUUACAACCAAAAUUCCUCAUUAUGCGAACUCCAAAAACCCCAACUUCCAAAAUCUAACUCAUUAUGGCUACCUCCAUUCUACCCUGAUUUGAAAUACUCUUUCUGUAAAUUGUUUCGUAGAAUCAACAUAAUCACUAACCCAUUAAAUAAUUUUAAUAUUUUACAAUUGAUCGCUUGUGUUUAAGUAGCAGAUCGUCGAUUCAAAACGACGUGUACUGUGGCAAACAGAUGUUUGUUUGCGUUGGACCAAACUACCAGUAUGCAAUUGAAUGUAAAAUCUGUUGACAUCACUCUAUCUUUUGGCCUGGUAUUUAUUUUUCCUUAGAGAAGCUUUAAUGUUAGAUAUAUGUAAAUGAACUUAUUACACAAGUGCAUUAUAUGAAUCAUUACCCAAUUUUUUUUGGAGGUGUGGAUUGGUUUCGGAUGAGAUGAAAAGUUUGUUUAACAUUGUCGCUUAUUCUAUGUGAGUGGAUAUGUUAAUAUGGUACUCCGUAUUAUUUUUAUGCA
This is a long non-coding RNA of Spinacia oleracea (spinach), 673 nucleotides long. RefSeq lists it as uncharacterized. The transcript is spliced from 2 exons. The record is from RefSeq and is a predicted model, not a curated record. Lineage: Eukaryota; Viridiplantae; Streptophyta; Magnoliopsida; Caryophyllales; Amaranthaceae.